Molecule: ribosomal RNA, 204 nt
Filed under: Staphylococcus haemolyticus
Lineage: Bacteria; Bacillati; Bacillota; Bacilli; Caryophanales; Staphylococcaceae
Description: partial 16S ribosomal RNA
Rfam family: Bacterial small subunit ribosomal RNA
Source: RNAcentral
CGGCCCAGACUCCUACGGGAGGCAGCAGUAGGGAAUCUUCCGCAAUGGGCGAAAGCCUGACGGAGCAACGCCGCGUGAGUGAUGAAGGUCUUCGGAUCGUAAAACUCUGUUAUUAGGGAAGAACAUACGUGUAAGUAACUAUGCACGUCUUGACGGUACCUAAUCAGAAAGCCACGGCUAACUACGUGCCAGCAGCCGCGGUAA